UGGGGAAUAUUGCACAAUGGGCGCAAGCCUGAUGCAGCCAUGCCGCGUGUGUGAAGAAGGCCUUCGGGUUGUAAAGCACUUUCAGCGAGGAGGAAGGUGGUGAGCUUAAUACGCUCAUCAAUUGACGUUACUCGCAGAAGAAGCACCGGCUAACUCCGUGCCAGCAGCCGCGGUAAUACGGAGGGUGCAAGCGUUAAUCGGAAUUACUGGGCGUAAAGCGCACGCAGGCGGUUUGUUAAGUCAGAUGUGAAAUCCCCGGGCUCAACCUGGGAACUGCAUUUGAAACUGGCAAGCUAGAGUCUCGUAGAGGGGGGUAGAAUUCCAGGUGUAGCGGUGAAAUGCGUAGAGAUCUGGAGGAAUACCGGUGGCGAAAGGCGGCCCCCCUGGACGAAGACUAACGCUCAGGUGCGAAAAGCGUGGGGAGCAAAACAGGAUUAGAUACCCUGGUAGUCCACGCUGUAAAACGAUGUCGAUUUUGGAGGUUGUGCCCCUUGAGGCGUGGCUUCCGGAGCUAAACGCGUUAAAAUCGACCGCCUGGGGAGUACGGCCGCAAGGUUAAAAACUC
RNAcentral lists this ribosomal RNA (565 nucleotides) under uncultured bacterium. Its description in RNAcentral is "partial 16S ribosomal RNA". It matches the Rfam family "Bacterial small subunit ribosomal RNA", at positions 355 to 902 of the family's 1533-position model. The record is from RNAcentral.